This 497-nucleotide ribosomal RNA is filed under the name uncultured bacterium. RNAcentral's name for it is "partial 16S ribosomal RNA". It matches the Rfam family "Bacterial small subunit ribosomal RNA", at positions 28 to 507 of the family's 1533-position model. The record is from RNAcentral.
GAUGAACGCUGGCGGCGUGCCUAAUACAUGCAAGUCGAGCGAACGGACGAGAAGCUUGCUUCUCUGAUGUUAGCGGCGGACGGGUGAGUAACACGUGGAUAACCUCCUUAUAAGACUGGGAUAACUUCGGGAAACCGGAGCUAAUACCGGAUAAUAUUUUGAACCGAAUGGUUCAAAAGUGAAAGACGGUUUUGCUGUCACUUAUAGAUGGAUCCGCGCUGCAUUAGCUAGUUGGUAAGGUAACGGCUUACCAAGGCAACGAUGCAUAGCCGACCUGAGAGGGUGAUCGGCCACACUGGAACUGAGACACGGUCCAGACUCCUACGGGAGGCAGCAGUAGGGAAUCUUCCGCAAUGGGCGAAAGCCUGACGGAGCAACGCCGCGUGAGUGAUGAAGGUCUUCGGAUCGUAAAACUCUGUUAUUAGGGAAGAACAUAUGUGUAAGUAACUGUGCACAUCUUGACGGUACCUAAUCAGAAAGCCACGGCUAACUACGUG